AGAGUUGAUUAUGGCUCAGGAUGAACGCUGGCGGCGUGCUUAACACAUGCAAGUCGAACGAAGCUCCUUGAACUGAAGAUUCGUCUGAUGGGAUAGGAAGACUUAGUGGCGGACGGGUGAGUAACGCGUGGGUAACCUGCCGUAUACGAGGGGGAUAACAGUUAGAAAUGACUGCUAAUACCGCAUAAGCGCACAGUGAGGCAUCUCACAGUGUAGAAAAACUCCGGGUGGUAUACGAUCGGACCCGCGUCUGAUUAGCCAGUUGGCAGGGUAACGGCCUAACCAAGCGACGAUCAGUAGCCGGCCUGAGGAGGGUGAACGGCCACAGUUGGGACUGAGACACCGGACCCAAACUCCGUACGGGAGGCAGCAGGUGGGAAUAUUGCACAAUGGGGGAAACCCUGAUGCAAGCGACGCCGCGUGAGUGAAGAAGCAUUUCGGUGCGUAAAGCUCUAUCAGCAGGGAAGAAAAUGACGGUACCUGACUAAGAAGCCCCGGCUAACUACGUGCCAGCCGCAGC
This 520-nucleotide ribosomal RNA is filed under the name uncultured bacterium. Its description in RNAcentral is "bacterial SSU rRNA". It matches the Rfam family "Bacterial small subunit ribosomal RNA", at positions 8 to 518 of the family's 1533-position model. The record is from RNAcentral.